UAGGGAAUCUUCGGCAAUGGGGGGCAACCCUGACCGAGCAACGCCGCGUGAGUGAAGAAGGUUUUCGGAUCGUAAAGCUCUGUUGUAAGAGAAGAACGUGUGUGAGAGUGGAAAGUUCACACAGUGACGGUAACUUACCAGAAAGGGCGCUAACUACGUGCUAG
This 164-nucleotide ribosomal RNA is filed under the name uncultured bacterium. RNAcentral describes it as "partial 16S rRNA". It matches the Rfam family "Bacterial small subunit ribosomal RNA", at positions 355 to 511 of the family's 1533-position model. The record is from RNAcentral.